RNAcentral lists this ribosomal RNA (498 nucleotides) under uncultured archaeon. Its description in RNAcentral is "bacterial SSU rRNA". It matches the Rfam family "Archaeal small subunit ribosomal RNA", at positions 1 to 469 of the family's 1478-position model. The record is from RNAcentral.
UCCGGUUGAUCCUGCCAGAGGCCGCUGCUAUCCGGCUGGGACUAAGCCAUGGGAGUCAUGGGGCGCGGGCCCUUCGGGGUUCGCGCACCGGCGGACGGCUCAGUAACACGUGGCCAACCUGCCCUCGGGAGGGGGAUAACCCCGGGAAACUGGGGCUAAACCCCCAUAGGGGAUGGGUGGUGGAAUUCCCCCAUCCCCGAAAGUGUGCGGUUGCCGUAAGGCGCCGCACAGCCCGAGGAUGGGGCUGCGGCGGAUUAGGUAGUUGGCGGGGUAACGGCCCGCCAAGCCGAAGAUCCGUACGGGCCAUGAGAGUGGGAGCCCGGAGAUGGCCCCUGAGACAAGGGGCCAGGCCCUACGGGGCGCACCAGGCGCGAAACCUCCGCAAUGCGGGAAACCGCGACGGGGUCAGCCGGAGUGCCCGCGCAUCGCGCGGGCUGUCGGGGAGCCGAAAUAUCUCCCCACAGCAAGGGCCGGGCAAGGCCGGUGGCAGCCGCCGCG